CUGUUAUUGUUUUGUUCGUGAAUAGCAUGACGAUGGCUUUCAUACUCCUGCGGGGUAGGUUUAUGUUUUCCUUUCCCCAGUAAUUUCCGUCCAAUUCAUACGUCGGAAGCUUGGCAUAAGUUCAGUUGUCCGGUCCAUUAUGUUUUUAUUAUAGUAUAACUUUAUUUCUUUCGUUUACUUUGUAGGUACUUGUAUAUAGCUCCGGCAAUUAGGAUCGCAACAAUCCAUAGAUUUUGGGCAAGGAAGGCGAGACCCUUAGCUCCC
Paramuricea clavata is the source of this 264-nucleotide non-coding RNA. The record is from the annotation of a GenBank genome assembly. NCBI's taxonomy places the organism in Eukaryota, Metazoa, Cnidaria, Anthozoa, Malacalcyonacea, Plexauridae.